AUCAAUUACCCAUACUAGGGUUGAGCUACAACCCUAGCUAAUGGGUUUAGCUAGACAUAAUUGAAGAAGAAAUAGAAGAAGAAAUAAAUAUGUUAAUUAAUAACUAAGAGAAACAACAAGAAUCUAUGGAGAAAUUAAUGCUAAAAUGCCAAAAUAGGCUAAAACUUUCGUCCUCACGAGCGUACCUCUAGUCUGUAAAUACAACUUAACCUGAAAAUGAUAAAAUAUUAUAUUUAUAGUGGGCUGGAAAAACUAGAUUAAAUUAUCCCUGUGAGGUCAGUGCGGGCCUCACAAUUAUUGCCGCAGCCGCACUGGCUGUUUGACUUCCAUUUUCAUGCUCUUUGAAGUAUCUGGCGCGGAUCGCGAAAGUGUAGUGGUGGCCGCUUGAAGGUCUGGCGCGGACCGCGUGAAGAUGACCGCGGCCGCAUGGCUUGCCUUUGCCCAUAUCUCAAUCUCUCUGACCCUUGUGACGCAGGCCGCAUGCCAUAAUGGCGCGGCCGCGUGAGCUGAAUGCAGGCCGCACAUCUCCAAGCACGGCCACGUGGUGAAAGGCUUGAUUAUGCUCUUCUCUAAACUCUUCUAGUGCGGCCACGUGAACAAUUGUGCGGUCCGCUCCAGGCUCUUAUUCCAAUAAUUUUCUUGGCCUUUGAUACUUGAGCAGGUUUCACUCCGUUUUGAGCCGAUCUUUGACAUUUGGUUACUUUUUCGCUCAAAUUUGCAAUCAAGCACAACCUGUAAGCAUUUUGGGACUGUUUUUAGCAAAUUAUACUCAAAACAUAGGCAAGUAAGGGAAUAAAAUACGUUAUAAUCCUACUUAUAGUUGAUUUUUUAUGUUUCUCGUUUUUUUUUCUUUUCCUUUAUUCUUCAUUUGCUUCCUUCCUUAAAAAAAUGAAAGAUGUGCUGAAAUGGUGUUUUUGAAGAUUGACUGGUACGAUGGUAAAGGCUGUUUAUGAUGGAGUAGUGAUGGCUGUGGUUUAGCCUUGAGGUAGUAUAUAUGAGUUGUAUAUACACUGAAUAUAUAAAAUUAUUCAAUAAAUAUAUAGUAAAUGGAGUUAUUAGUUUUAACAUAUUCUAAAUAUGUUCAUGCAUUAAAAAAUACAAGUUAAAAUAAUUAUAAACUAUAUAUAGCCAAAUAAUAUAAAUACUAUAUCAAACAUUAUAUACAUCAUAAUGUACUUUCUCAAAGAAUUAUAUAAUAUGCGUAUACCACGAAAUAAUGUUGUAUAUGAUAGUAAUCCACAAGUAUAAUAUAAUCUGUUUACACAAUUAAGUUAUACUAUGAAUAUAAACUAGUAAUAUACUAAUAUAUAGCAUUAUUAUUCAUCAUGUAUUUAAUAAUUAUACAACACAACGAAUUGUUAAAUUUAAUACACUACGUAUAAGUACAAAUAUUAGAGGUAAAAUCAGUUACUUGAAGGUGGAAUGAAGUAAUGUGUAAGUUGAAGACAAAAGUUGGAUUGAAUAGUCAAAAAAAAACGAAAGGAUUUAGGGUGAGAAAAAUUUAUAGCUAUACCAAUAUUCAAAAAAUAGGAGAAAGAGAGGGUUAGAGAUAUCUUAGCAUUGGCAUAAUAAAAGAUACACGACAUUAAAUGGGGGAGGGGGAAUUAUGGGGAAGACUUCAUAUGUGGAUUAUUAUUAAUUACUAGUCCCUGUUUUAAUGGGUUUGGUCCAAAUUUUAUAGGUUUCUGCUAGAAAUGUAGUUAAUCAGCUGCCAUAUUUGCACGGCGGUCCGAUGAAUUUUGUGACCUAAAGUUAAAUUUUAUGAGGGACUUUAACUUUUUAAAUUAUUUUUAUUAUUUAUUUAAAGUCUUUUUUUAGCUUUUCUUAGAUACAAAGUUAUUAAUGAUUUUCUUAUAAUCAAUAACUCCUAAUAAGUAUUUCUCAACUAACAAUAUAGUUAAUCCAUUUAACUUUUCUUGUGACAUUGUUGUUCUUAGGUAAGAUUUAAUCAAUUCUAAUUUUGAAAACUUCUUUCCGUUGAAGCAACAGUAACAUGAGUUAUUAACAUUAUUUCAUAAGAAAUUUAGGCAUUUGAAAAAGAAUUAAAUCUUUUUAUUUGAUUAAAUGUAUCAAUUAAACUGUUCUUCUAAUGGUAUUGUUUUCCUUAACACUUUAAUUCAGAAAAUAAAUUAAAACCAUCAAUAUCGAAGUGAAUAUUAUGCUUUAAGGAACAUUCAAGAUUAAGGUAAAUUUUUUUCAAAUUCCCAACAUCUAGUAAUCUUAAUUUUUACUGCCACAUAAAAAAUCAAAAAUAUUUUCAUAUGCUUUGAAUUGUUCAAAUCUAUUUUGAAGUAAAAAAAUAGCCUUGUCUAUUAUUUAUAAAAGUAAACAACUCUAAAGAACUCUUUGAAUGAUUUUGAGAUUUCAUUAUCAACAUUCGUAUCAAAUUGUUACUUCCUAUAUGUCACACGUUUCUCAGGAAAUUCGGGUUUGAUAUUUAUUUCAGGUGCAAUUUUCAAGGUAGAAAUCAUAGCAGUUGCAAACCUUCUUCUCUAUAUUUGUUAAAGAAGGAAUCAAACUUUGACACUUUACAGAACUUUUUUUAAAACUUAUACAUAGUAUAUUAGAUGUAACAAAAAAUGGGGACUCCACAAUGUUGAUACCCUAUAUUUCCCAACAUAGUUUUUGUACCCAAAAUACUUUCAAAAUAGCAUGUAUGUGCAUAUAUAGUACAACAAAGGGCUUAGUCAUUUUUUAAUAAUUUUUUAAACUAAUUUAUGGCCGAUUUUUAUAUCAUAAAAUACAAUAAUUAUUUUCAAAAUUUUCCAUUUGGGAGAAAAAUUUACUUUAUUCUCAUAUUUACAUCAAAUAUAUAGGUAACAUAAUUUUUGCAUAUUUUUACAAAUUCGCUUGGUAUUUUUAAAACUAAAUUCCAUGUAAUUGCAAUCUUAGCCCACUUUCAAAUUUCAUAGCAUUUUAAUUACAAAAUCAAUUCCAAUAUUUUUUAAAUUAAUGUUUACAUACUAUUUAUUAGCUCAGUGCUUUUAAUUUAAUUUUAAAAUACUUUUACUAUUUUUAUAAUAUCAAAAGGGAAAAUAUGGCUAUUUCAAUUGUGAACUGGAACCUUUUUUGCUUAUGGUUUUGAAACUUUCUAUGCCAGUCUUUUCUUUCUUGUUUGACACAUUUGUGUGCUUUAUAUAUGAGAGCUUUUCUUUCAGAAGGGUUUUGCCAACUUGUGAGUGAUUCCGAAUUCCUUUUAGUAAGGCUUGAUUGAUUGUUACUGAUUUUCCCCAAUUGAACCUUUUCCUCACCCUUUUCCGACUAAGUUCUUUCGAACAAAGCUUUCAAUUUACUAGUUAUUUGAUUGAUCUUCUUUUCUUGUUUUUCACAAAUCAUGUACUAUAGGAUUUUUGCCUUAAAUAAACUCUGUGUACUUAUCACACCUACCCCGAGGGAUAGAUGCGUGAUGGAGUUUUUCCAGUUUAAGUGACGUUGAUUGAAUUGAGAUUAUUUAUUGAUUUAAGAGUCGCCACUUGGGAUAGGUUUGGCUUUUGGGUUCCCAAGUCACCGGUUUAUCUUGAAUCCCAAUUCGAGGAAAAUAUUCGACUUUUCAAGUGAAGUCUGCGAACCAGAAAUUAUAAGGAAUUCUGUUGACUCGAGGGAAGGUGUUAGGCACCCCGGAUCCCGUGGUUCUAGCACGAUCGCUUAAAUUGUUAUAAUUGGCAAAAAUCUGAUUUUAAUACAUGUGAUAACUUACGUGAUUUUAUUAACUUUAGACCGCUUUUAUUAUUAUUUUUAAUAGAAUUGCAACGUCGUGAAAACGCGUCUCGAACCACGUAGUAAUCAAUGCACUGGUAGUUGUCAACACAUUUCGACUCUGUUGAGAUUUGGAUUUGGGUCGCGUGAAAUGCAUACCUGAAUUUAGGAAUGUAAUAUUAUUAAAUAGUGCGCCUAAAGUAACUACGCAUUUUUGACUUUGAGAGGGACAUGAAAAUUUCAACUAAAUGGCACGCCUUGAUUUCUAAGAAUUAAAAAUUAAUUAAGGGCCAUACAAUUAUUAUUUUAUUUGGCACGGCACACCUCAAAUUAUUUUUAAAAUAUUGUACUUAACUAAAGCAAACUACAAAUGUUGAUAAGUUGUUUUUCCCAAAACUACUUUAAAAUUAUUGUGACGCUACAAAUUACAAAAUUUAUAUUGGAUAAUAUGUGUGUGGCUCAGCUAUUAGAACUAUAAGAAUCUCCUACACAAUAAUCUGAAAAACAAACAAAAAAAUUACGUAAGGCGGAAACAUUUGUAAUGGACAGCAAUGCCAAUACAUCUCAAAUUCUAAUAUUGAGAUGAUAGCGACAAUACCGAAAAUCUCACUAGUGUACUACAUAAUCAUUCAACAAAUUGGGCGAUUUGCUUCUGGUUUCGAAUCUUGCCUAACUCGUGUUUGUAGUCUUCUCGACUAGUUCGCGCAAGUCACCCCGUUACAGAUCUUAGUUCAAGAUGUUUUUAUGUUUUUCUCCUUUUUGGCAAGAUCCCGUGUGAAAAGGGGGCGAGGUACCUUAUGCGCUUUUUUCCCAUAGAGAAGGGGGAUCUACUGUUUCCUCUUCUUCUUUCCCUUGCUCGGAGACGCGGAUGUGGAAGUAAGCUCGUCUCGAGGCUUUUGACUUCCUUUGAUCUGACAUGCCGCUUUGGCUUGCUCGAGUUGGGUUGUUUUCUUUCCUUUUUUGGUCUAAGGGUAAACUACACGAUUUUGCUAUGAAAUCCCCACAGACGGCGCCAAAUUUUUUAGCUAAAAGUUCUCAUCCACUUUAUGAGCAUAAAUGAAAUAAAAUCAACGGAGGGCCAAUCAUAGCAGAUCGUAAUAAAUUAAAAGACCAAAUGACUAAAAUGUAAGAGGCAAUAGUUAUGGAUUAAGGGGAGGAGAGUAGAGAUCUUGUAUUAAUAAUACCGAUUUUGUCUGCCUCUCGAUGGAGAGGUUCAGAGCCUUACAAUGAUGUAUAUUCUCUUCUCUUAGAAAUCGAUGUGAAGAAGAAGAAGCAGCCCCCUUUUAGGGUUCUUUCUCUUAAUAUUUAUAGUUGUGGAUCUUGCCAGCUGGCAAUGACGGCCGUGGCUGCAUCGAAGGGACGUCCGUACACGAUGAGUAGGUCGUAGUCUCGCUAACUAAUUAGGUUGAGUAAUAUUGGAGUACUUUGGUCGGUUAAUGGUUAUACCUUUUAUUAGUCAGAACGAGCUUAGUAGCUAGUUAGACGUGCUACUUAUCACAAAUUUGAUUCUGACCCAUACAGCUACAAAUUAUAAAAUUUAUUGUGGAUAAGAUGUGUGUGGCUCAGCUAUUAGAAUUAUAAGAAUCACUUACACAAUAAUCUACAAAAAAAAAAAACAAAAAAACGUAAGGCAGAAACAUUUGUUAUGGACAGCAAUGCCAAUACAUCUCAAAUUCUAAUAUUGAGAUGAUACCGACAAUACCGAAAAUCUCACUAGUGUACUACAUUUACAUAAUCAUUCAACAAAUUAACUCUAUCAGCCAUUUUAAAAAUAUUAUUUUUAGCAAAUUGGAAACAAAUUUCAUGUGCUUACAUGAGCUAAACACAAAAUUUAUAUUGGAUAAUGUGUGUGGCUCAGCUAUUAGAACUAUAAGAAUCUCCUACACAAUAAUCUGAAAAACAAACAAAAAAAAUACGUAAGGCGGAAACAUUUGUAAUGGACAGCAAUGCCAAUACAUCUCAAAUUCUAUUAUUGAGAUGAUACCGACAAUACCGAAAAUCUCACUAGUGUACUACAUAAUCAUUCAACAAAUUGGGCGAUUUGCUUCUGGUUUCGAAUCUUGCCUAACUCGUGUUUGUAGUCUUCUCGACUAGUUCGCGCAAGUCACCCCGUUACAGAUCUUAGUUCAAGAUGUUUUUAUGUUUUUCUCCUUUUUGGCAAGAUCCCGUGUGAAAAGGGGGCGAGGUACCUUAUGCGCUUUUUUCCCAUAGAGAAGGGGGAUCUACUUUUUCCUCUUCUUCUUUCCCUUGCUCGGAGACGCGGAUGUGGAAGUAAGCUCGUCUCGAGGCUUUUGACUUCCUUUGAUCUGACAUGCCGCUUUGGCUUGCUCGAGUUGGGUUGUUUUCUUUCCUUUUUUGGUCUAAGGGUAAACUACACGAUUUUGCUAUGAAAUCCCCACAGACGGCGCCAAAUUUUUUAGCUAAAAGUUCUCAUCCACUUUAUGAGCAUAAAUGAAAUAAAAUCAACGGAGGGCCAAUCAUAGCAGAUCGUAAUAAAUUAAAAGACCAAAUGACUAAAAUGUAAGAGGCAAUAGUUAUGGAUUAAGGGGAGGAGAGUAGAGAUCUUGUAUUAAUAAUACCGAUUUUGUCUGCCUCUCGAUGGAGAGGUUCAGAGCCUUACAAUGAUGUAUAUUCUCUUCUCUUAGAAAUCGAUGUGAAGAAGAAGAAGCAGCCCCCUUUUAGGGUUCUUUCUCUUAAUAUUUAUAGUUGUGGAUCUUGCCAGCUGGCAAUGACGGCCGUGGCUGCAUCGAAGGGACGUCCGUACACGAUGAGUAGGUCGUAGUCUCGCUAACUAAUUAGGUUGAGUAAUAUUGGAGUACUUUGGUCGGUUAAUGGUUAUACCUUUUAUUAGUCAGAACGAGCUUAGUAGCUAGUUAGACGUGCUACUUAUCACAAAUUUGAUUCUGACCCAUACAGCUACAAAUUAUAAAAUUUAUUGUGGAUAAGAUGUGUGUGGCUCAGCUAUUAGAAUUAUAAGAAUCACUUACACAAUAAUCUACAAAAAAAAAAAACAAAAAAACGUAAGGCAGAAACAUUUGUUAUGGACAGCAAUGCCAAUACAUCUCAAAUUCUAAUAUUGAGAUGAUACCGACAAUACCGAAAAUCUCACUAGUGUACUACAUUUACAUAAUCAUUCAACAAAUUAACUCUAUCAGCCAUUUUAAAAAUAUUAUUUUUAGCAAAUUGGAAACAAAUUUCAUGUGCUUACAUGAGCUAAACAUGCAGUGUGCAUUUGAAAGCUUAAAUGGACAAAGGCUAUAAAAUUGUCACCCCAAAAACAUACCUCCAUAAUCAAGAGUUACAAACCAAAAUAAUUAACAAGCACAUAGUAGAUCAAACCACAAAUUUAUACAAAAGCAACUGCAUUCUCUAUGAUAUAAGAAACCAAAAAUUUCAGCAAAUAACUCAAAAUAUACGUUUACACACUUCAAUCCCAAAUUUAUCAAUCCAUGCCAUUUAUAUGAGCAAAGAUCAGAAAAAAAAAAAAAGGAAGAACGGGGAGAGAGAACGGACCUUAAUAAUUGGUUCCUUUGUAUUAAACAAGAACUUGGUUAGAUCAAAUUGUCCAUGAAGUGAAUGGAAUGUGAAACCAACGCCGUCGACCUCGAGCCCAAGACUUCAACAAAACUAAUGGAGGAUUCUGGAACUGUUUUUCAACUGCGAUGUAGCUGCGUUUUUGGGCUACUUUGAGACAGUUUUCAGCUGGUUUUGUAGCAUAUUUUCAGUUGGUUUCACAGCUGAUUUUUUAGUUGAUUUUUUGGCAUGACAUUGGGAUUACUUUUCUAGAAUUUUCGGACUGGUUUUUUCAGCAAUUUCGCAGCUGGUUUGGCUGCUUUUUGGAGCUGUUUUCAGGUUUUUCCAAUGGAAGUUUUUGGAUGAGCUCCUUUAUAGCUGAAGUUUGGAUGGUUUUUUAUACAAGGGAAAGUGUAAGAGUGAGUUGUCCAGAAAAAGAAUCAGAAGUAGAGGGAAAAUAUGAGGCAUGUGUUGUGAGUCUCUCGUGGGUGAGUUGGGAAGGGGAUAAAGUGAGAGGGACAAGGAUAAGUGGGGGACAAAAGAGAAUGGGAAAUAAAGAGAAAAAGGGGUUAUGAAUGGAAAUGUGUGUUGUAAAGAG
This 7807-nucleotide long non-coding RNA is filed under the name Nicotiana benthamiana. RNAcentral's name for it is "long non-coding RNA (NBEN_LNC034341)". The record is from RNAcentral. Lineage: Eukaryota; Viridiplantae; Streptophyta; Magnoliopsida; Solanales; Solanaceae.